UCCGAUUGAUCCCGUCGGACCCCACUGCUAUCGAGAUGGGACUAAAGUAUGCUAGUCGAACGACCAGAACUAUGUCUGGAAGUGGCACACUGCUCAGUAACACAUAGCUAACCUACCCUUAGGACGUGGAUACCCCCGAGAAAUUGGGGUUAAUCCGCGAUAGAUGUAAUGUCCUGGAAUGGUAUUACGUCUAAAGGUAUUUCAUACAUGUUUGAAAUAUGCCUAAGGAUGGGGCUGCGGCCGAUCAGGCUGUUGGUGAGGUAAUGGCUCACCAAACCUUUGACCGGUACGGGCCAUGAGAGUGGUAGCCCGGAGAUGGACACUGAGACAAGGGUCCAGGCCCUAAGGGGCGCAGCAACCGCGAAACCUCCACAAUGCACUCACGUGCGAUGGGGCUAUCUCGAGUGCCACCUGAUGAAGGUGGCUUUUCCUUGGUCUUCAAAGCCUUGGGAAUAAGAGGGGGGCAAGACUGGUGUCAGCCGCCGCGGUAACACCAGCCCCUCGAGUGGUGGGGAUGAUUAUUUGGCCUAAAGCGUCCGUAGCCGGCCGAGCAAGUCUUCCGUUAAAUCCAGCGUCUCAAGCGUUGGACCGCGGGAGAUACUACACGGCUAGAGAGUGGGAGAGGUCAGCGGUAUUCUGGGGGUAGGGGCGAAAUCCUUUGAUCCCCGGAGGACCACCAGUGGCGAAGGCUGCUGACUAGAACACGUCUGACGGUCAGGGACGAAAGCUGGGGUAGCGAACCGGAUUAGAUACCCGGGUAGUCCCAGCCGUAAACGAUGCAUGCUAGGUGUUGGGUUGGCCACGAGCCACCCCAGUGCCGCAGGGAAGCCGUUAAGCAUGCCGCCUGGGAAGUACGAUCGCAAGAUUGAAACUUAAAGGAAUUGGCGGGGGAGCACCACCAGGCGUGAAGCCUGCGGUUUAAUUGGAGUCAACGCCGGGAACCUUACCGGGAGCGACAGCAGAAUGAAGGCCAGAUUGAAGAUCUUGCCAGACGAGCUGAGAGGAGGUGCAUGGCCGUCGCCAGUUCGUGCCGUGAGGUGUUCUCUUAAGUGAGAUAACGAACGAGACCCGUGCCACAUGUUGCCACCAGUAUCUAAAGGAUAGCUGAGCACUCUUGUGGGACCGCAGCCGAUAAGGCUGAGGAAGGUACGGGCAACGGCAGGUCAGUAUGCCCCGAAUCUCCCGGGCCACACGCGGGCUGCAAUGGUACAGACAUAGGGCUGCCACCCCGAAAGGGGGAGCCAAUCCCUAAACUGUACCUCAGUUGGGAUCGAGGGUUGCAACCCACCCUCGUGAACAUGGAAUGCCUAGUAACCGCCAGUCAUCAUCUGGCGUGAAUACGUCCCUGCUCCUUGCACACACUGCCCGUCGAACCACCCGAAUGAGGUUUGGGUGAGGAAUGGUCGAAUGUUGGCCGUUUCGAACCUGGGCCUCGUAAGGAGGGUUAAGUCGUAACAAGGUG
RNAcentral lists this ribosomal RNA (1462 nucleotides) under metagenome. Its description in RNAcentral is "bacterial SSU rRNA". It matches the Rfam family "Archaeal small subunit ribosomal RNA". The record is from RNAcentral.